CUGGAGGGGGGGGAUCAUAUCUGGGGGCGGGGCGGGUCAAGUUAUGGGGGUGGAAAAGGCUCUGGAUACGGAGGAGGAGGAAGCUCAGGUGGUGGAUCCAUAUCUGGGGGUGGAAAAGGCUCUGGAUAUGGAGGAGGAGGAAGUUCUGGCGGUGGAUCCAUAUCUGGGGGUGGAAAAGGCUCAGGAUAUGGAGGAGGAGGAAGCUCAGGUGGUGGAGGCUCCAUAUCUGGAGGAGGAAAAGGCUCAGGAUAUGGAGGAGGAGGAGGAAGCUCAGGUGGCUCCAUCUGUGGAGGAGGAAGCUCAGGUGGAGGAGGCUCCAUUUCCAAGGGUGGCAGCAGCUCGGGGGGUUAUGGGGGUGGUGGGUCAAGUUAUGGAGGAGGAAAAGGCUCUGGAUAUGGAGGAGGAGGAAGCUCAGGUGGUGGAUCCAUCUCUGGGGGUGGAAAAGGCUCAGGAUAUGGAGGAGGAAGUUCUGGUGGUGGAUCCAUCUGUGGAGGAGGAAGCUCAGGGGGUGGAUCCAUAUCUGGGGGUGGAAAAGGCUCAGGAUAUGGAGGAGGAGGAAGCUCAGGCAGUGGAGGCUCCAUAUCUGGGGGUGGGUCAAGUUAUGGAGGAGGAAAGGGCUCUGGAUACGGAGGAGGAGGAGGAAGCUCAGGUGGCUCCAUCUGUGGAGGAGGAAGCUCUGGCGGUGGCUCCAUAUCUGGGGGAGGAAAAGGCUCAGGGUAUGGAGGAGGAAGUUCUGGUGGUGGAUCCAUCUGUGGAGGAGGAAGUUCAGGGGGUGGAUCCAUAUCUGGAGGAGGAAAAGGCUCAGGAUAUGGGGGAGGAGGAAGCUCAGGUGGCUCCAUCUGUGGAGGAGGAAGCUCUGGCGGUGGCUCCAUAUCUGGGGGAGGAAAAGGCUCAGGGUAUGGAGGAGGAGGAAGCUCAGGUGGUGGAGGCUCCAUAUCUGGGGGUGGGUCAAGUUAUGGAGGAGGAAAAGGCUCAGGGUAUGGAGGAGGAAGCUCAGGUGGCUCCAUCUGUGGAGGAGGAAGUUCAGGUGGUGGAGGCUCCAUUUCCAAGGGUGGCAGCAGCUCAGGGGGUUAUGGGAGUGGUGGGUCCAGUUAUGGAGGAGGAAAAGGCUCAGGAUACGGAGGAGGAAGUUCUGGUGGUGGCUCCAUCUGUGGAGGAGGAAGUUCAGGUGGUGGAGGCUCCAUAUCUGGGGGAGGAAAAGGCUCAGGAUAUGGAGGAGGAGGAAGCUCAGGUGGCUCCAUCUGUGGAGGAGGAAGCUCUGGUGGUGGAUCCAUAUCUGGGGGUGGAAAAGGCUCAGGGUAUGGAGGAGGAAGUUCUGGUGGCUCCAUCUGUGGAGGAGGAAGCUCAGGUGGUGGAUCCAUAUCUGGAGGAGGAAAAGGCUCAGGAUAUGGAGGAGGAAGCUCUGGUGGUGGAGGCUCCAUUUCCAAGGGUGGCAGCAGCUCAGGGGGUUAUGGGGGCGGUGGGUCAAGUUAUGGAGGAGGAAAAGGCUCUGGAUACGGAGGAGGAGGAAGCUCAGGUGGUGGAUCCAUCUCUGGGGGUGGAAAAGGCUCUGGAUACGGAGGAGGAGGAAGCUCAGGUGGUGGAUCCAUAUCUGGAGGAGGAAAAGGCUCAGGAUAUGGAGGAGGAGGAAGCUCAGGUGGCUCCAUCUGUGGAGGAGGAAGUUCUGGUGGAGGCUCCAUAUCUGGGGGUGGAAAAGGCUCAGGAUACGGAGGAGGAAGUUCUGGUGGUGGAUCCAUAUCUGGGGGUGGAAAAGGCUCAGGAUAUGGAGGAGGAAGUUCUGGAGGUGGCUCCAUCUGUGGAGGCGGAAGCUCAGGUGGUGGAUCCAUAUCUGGGGGUGGAAAAGGCUCAGGAUAUGGAGGAGGAGGAAGCUCAAGCAGUGGAGGCUCCAUAUCUGGGGGUGGGCAGAGCUCUGGUGGAGGAUCCAUAUCUAGUGGUGGUGGAUCCAUCUGUGGGGGUGGAAGAGGUUCAGGGUAUGGAAGACAGGGAAGUUCUAGUGGAGGAGGCUCCAUCUCUGGGGGUGGGCAGAGCUCUGGCAGUGGCCGGUGCAGCCCCCAGAGCGGUGGGAUAAGCUCUGGAGGUGGGAGCAGCUCAGGAAGGAGAGGCUCCAUCUCUGGGAGUGGCCAGAGCUCAGGGUAUGGAAGACAGGGAAGCUCCAGUGGUGGAGGCUCCAUCUCUGGAGGUGGCCAGAGCUCUGGUGGUCACGGAUCCAUCUCUGGAGGUGGGAGUAGCUGUGGCAGGAGAGGUUCCAUCUCUGGAGGAGGGCAGAGCUCUGGUGGUCAUGGAUCAGGCUCUGGAGGUGGCAGCAGCUGUGGCAGGAGAGGUUCCAUCUCUGGAGGUGGGCAGAGCUCAGGAGGUCACGGAUCCGGUUCUGGAGGUGGGCAGAGCUCAGGAAGUCAUGGACAUGGGUCUGGCAGUGGCAGGUGCAGCCCCCAGAGUGGUGGGAUAAGUUCUGGUGGUGGCAACAGCUGUGGCAGAAGAGGCUCCAUCUCUGGAGGUGGGCAGAGCUCUGGUGGUCACGGAUCCAGCUCUGGAGGUGGGCAGAGCUCAGGAGGUCAUGGAUCCAGCUCUGGAGGUGGCAGCAGUUGUGGCAGGAGAGGCUCCAUCUCUGGAGGUGGGCAGAGCUCUGGUGGUCAUGGAUCCAGCUCUGGAGGUGGCAGCAGCUGUGGCAGGAGAGGCUCCAUCUCUGGAGGUGGGCAGAGCUCAGGAGGUCAUGGACAUGGGUCUGGCAGUGGCAGGUGCAGCCCCCAGAGUGGUGGGAUAAGUUCUGGAGGUGGGAGCAGCUGUGGCAGGAGGGGCUCCAUCUCUGGAGGUGGGCAGAGCUCAGGAGGUCAUGGAUCCAUCUCUGGAGGUGGGCAGAGUUCUGGUGGUCAUGGAUCAGGCUCUGGAGGUGGGAGCAGCUGUGGCAGGAGAGGCUCCACCUCUGGAGGUGGGGGACAGGGAAGCUCCAGUGGUGGAGGCUCCAUCUCUGGAGGAGGGCAGAGCUCUGGUGGUCAUGGAUCAGGCUCUGGAGGUGGCAGCAGUUGUGGCAGGAGAGGCUCCAUCUCUGGAGGUGGGCAGAGCUCAGGAGGUCAUGGAUCCAUCUCUGGAGGUGGGAGCAGCUGUGGCAGGGGAGGCUCCAUCUCUGGAGGUGGAGGAGGAGGAAUAAGCUCUGGUGGGUGCAUUGGAGGGGGAGAAGGAGGUUCAGGGUAUGGAGGGAGCUCUGGGUAUGGGGGAGGUUCAGGGUAUGGAGGAGGCUCUGGAUACGGAGGGAGUUCAGGGUAUGGAGGCAGCUCAGGCAGGAGAGGAUCCAUCUCUGGAGGAGGAGGAGGAGGAAGCUCAGGACAUGGAGGAUCAAGUUCUGGUGGGUGCAUUGGUGGGGGAGAAGGAGGUUCAGGGUAUGGGGGGAGCUCAGGGUAUGGGGGGAGUUCAGGCAGGAGAGGUUCCAUCUCUGGAGGAGGAAGUUCAGGUCAUAGAGGAUCAAGUUCUGGUGGGUGCAUUGGAGGGGGAGAAGGAGGUUCAGGAUAUGGAGGGAGCUCUGGGUAUGGGGGAGGUUCUGGAUAUGGAGGAGGCUCUGGAUAUGGAGGGAGUUCAGGGUAUGGGGGCAGCUCAGGCAGGAGAGGGUCCAUCUCUGGAGGAGGAAGUUCAGGUCAUGGAGGAUCAAGUUCUGGUGGCUGCAUUGGAGGGGGUGAAGGUGGUUCAGGGUAUGGAGGGAGCUCAGGGUAUGGGGGAGGUUCAGGAUAUGGAGGGAGCUCAGGGUAUGGAGGGAGCUCAGGCAGGAGAGGUUCCAUCUCUGGAGGAGGAGGAGGAAGCUCAGGUCAUGGAGGAUCAAGUUCUGGUGGGUGCAUUGGUGGGGGAGAAGGAGGUUCAGGGUAUGGAGGGAGCUCAGGGUAUGGAGGGAGCUCUGGGUAUGGAGGAAGUUCUGGAUAUGGAGGGAGCUCAGGUAGGAGAGGCUCCAUCUCUGGAGGAGGAGGAGGAAGCUCAGGACAUGGUGGAUCCAGUUAUGGCAGUGGUGGAUCCAUCUGUGGAGGAGAAGGAGGUUCAGGGUAUGGAGGAGGUUCUGGAUAUGGAGGCAGCUCAAGCAGGAGAGGCUCCAUCUCUGGAGGAGGAAGCUCAGGGUAUGGAGGAUCAAGUUCUGGUGGGUGCAUUGGAGGGGGUGAAGGUGGUUCAGGGUAUGGAGGAGGUUCUGGAUAUGGAGGGAGCUCAGGGUAUGGGGGGAGCUCAGGCAGGAGAGGCUCCAUCUCUGGAGGAGGAAGCUCAGGUCACAUAGGAUCGAGUUCUGGUGGCUGCAUUGGUGGGGGAGAAGGAGGUUCAGGGUAUGGAGGAAGUUCUGGAUAUGGAGGGAGCUCUGGGUAUGGAGGAGGGAGCUCUGGGUAUGGAGGCAGCUCGGGCAGGAGAGGUUCCAUCUCUGGAGGAGGAGGAGGAAGCUCAGGUCAUGGUGGAUCCAGUUAUGGCAGUGGUGGGUGCAUUGGAGGGGGAGAAGGAGGCUCAGGGUAUGGAGGAGGCUCUGGGUAUGGGGGAGGUUCUGGAUAUGGAGGAAGCUCCGGGUAUGGGGGGAGCUCAGGCUAUGGAGGGAGCUCAGGCAGGAGAGGAUCCAUCUCUGGAGGAGGAAGUUCAGGCAGGAGAGGUUCCAUCUCUGGAGGAGGAGGAGGAAGCUCAGGUCAUGGUGGAUCCAUCUGUGGAGGAGAAGGAGGUUCAGGGUAUGGAGGAGGCUCUGGGUAUGGAGGAAGUUCUGGAUAUGGAGGCAGCUCAGGCAGGAGAGGCUCCAUCUCUGGAGGAGGAGGAGGAAGCUCAGGACAUGGAGGAUCCAGUUCUGGUGGGUGCAUUGGAGGGGGAGAAGGAGGCUCAGGGUAUGGAGGAGGCUCUGGGUAUGGGGGAGGUUCUGGAUAUGGAGGGAGCUCAGGCUAUGGAGGCAGCUCAAGCAGGAGAGGCUCCAUCUCUGGAGGAGGAAGUUCAGGCAGGAGAGGUUCCAUCUCUGGAGGAGGAGGAAGCUCAGGUCAUGGAGGAUCCAUCUGUGGAGGAGAAGGAGGUUCAGGGUAUGGAGGAGGUUCAGGGAAUGGAGGAGGCUCUGGGUAUGGAGGAGGUUCUGGAUAUGGAGGCAGCUCAGGCAGGAGAGGCUCCAUCUCUGGAGGAGGAGGAGGAAGCUCAGGUCAUGGAGGAUCCAGUUCUGGUGGGUGCAUUGGAGGGGGAGGAGGAGGUUCAGGGUAUGGAGGGAGCUCAGGGUAUGGAGGAGGCUCUGGAUAUGGAGGGAGCUCAGGGUAUGGGGGGAGUUCAGGCAGGAGAGGUUCCAUCUCUGGAGGAGGAAGCUCAGGUCAUGGUGGAUCCAGUUAUGGCAGUGGUGGAUCCAUCUGUGGAGGAGAAGGAGGCUCAGGGUAUGGAGGGAGCUCUGGGUAUGGAGGCAGCUCAGGCAGGAGAGGGUCCAUCUCUGGAGGAGGAGGAAGCUCAGGUCACGGAGGAUCCAGUUAUGGCAGUGGUGGGGGCAUUGGAGGGGGAGAAGGAGGCUCAGGGUGUGGAGGGAGCUCUGGGUAUGGAGGAGGCUCUGGAUAUGGAGGAGGUUCUGGAUAUGGAGGAGGUUCUGGAUAUGAAGGAGGUUCUGGAUAUGAAGGAGGUUCUGGAUAUGAAGGAGGUUCUGGAUAUGGAGGUUCUGGAUAUGGAGGAGGUUCAGGAUAUGGAGGAGGUUCAGGGUAUGGAGGCAGCUCAGGAUAUGCAGGAAGCUCAGGAUAUGAAGGUGGUUCAGGAUAUGGAGGAACCUCAGGCCGGAGAGGGUCCAUCUCUGGGGGAGGAGAAGGAGGAGGAGGAAGCUCCUUCUCUGGGGGUUGUGGGUCGAGCCCUGGGGGUUCCUGCCCUGCUGGCAGUGGGUGGGUCGGGGGUACAGCCUGGAGGGGGGGAUUG
Molecule: long non-coding RNA, 5868 nt
Organism: Manacus vitellinus (golden-collared manakin)
Lineage: Eukaryota; Metazoa; Chordata; Aves; Passeriformes; Pipridae
Source: Ensembl